GUAAGAACUGACACUAACAUUUAACAGUAACAACUAACAAUUAAGACUUAAAACACUAAUAGCAGCAUUAAGAAGAAAAAUGAACAGUAGAAAUAAGAGUGGUACUGAUAUCGGGAAAAUCGGUGAUUUAUCGAUCAAAUAUCGGUCCUAUAUAAGUCAAAUAUUGGACAAUUUCGCUGAUAUUAUCGGUACCGAUAUUCCGACCAAUAUUUUGUACCGCUAUCUCGGUAGGGGACCGAUAACUAAUAUAUCACUGAUAUAUCUUUUGAUAUAUCGGGAUAUUAACUACAUAGUCCUCAUCACCACCAAACCUCAUGUGAUCAUCUCUAAAUUCACCCUUACGAAACGAGUUAGGCCUUCCCAUAGAUGGUUCAUGGAACGAGUCAGCCCGACCCAUAGGCGGUUCUCUAAACGAACUAGACUGGCCCAGGUUCGGGCCCAUGUUUGUUUCACGAAACGAAUUAGGCCGACCUAGGUUCGGGCCCAUGUUUGGUUCAGGAAACAAAUUAGGUCGGCCCAUGUUUGGUUCAUGAAACAAAUUUGGUCGACCCAUGUUUGGUUCAUGAGGCGAAUUAGGCUGGCCCAUGUUUUGUUCACGAAAUGAAUUUGGACGGCCCAUGUUUGGUUCAUGAAACAAAUUAGGUCGGCCAAUGUUUGGUUCAUGAAACAUAUUAGGCCGGCCCAUGUUUGGUUCAUGAGGUGAAUUAGGCUGGCCCAUGUUCGGGCCCAUGAUGGGUUCACCAUUAUUAGCGACCUUAGCACUCGAAAACCUCUUAUCAUACCCGAACUCGAUAUCCCCAUCUUUAGUUUGGAACGCGUUACGGCUAGGUUUCAUGUCUUUUUCUUGGAUGUGUCGACUGCGCUUAGAUGGUUUUGAAUUGUUAUAACGCUUAUUGCACAACCGCCCGAGAAAGCAAGCAAUUGUGGAUAUCGCCACAAUUACUGCCAGCACAAUGAAAACUGCCCCAAACGAGCCAUCCGUCUGGGGGUGUGAAGGUGGGCUUGUUUCAGAAGAAACCGGGUAAACUAGCGGAGGCUGAUCCGUCUGUUGAACCGACAUGUUUCAAAAAACAAGCUAAGAUAAUUUUGGGAAUUUUUGCAAAAAGGUUUUGGCUUAGAGAUGUUGGUUGAGUGAGUGCUAAGUUAGAAUAUGAAGUAAGAAGAAUAUGAAUGAGAAAGUGAGGGGGUAUUGGAUGGAUUAUAUGUUUUGAAGUAAAAAAGCAAAUACU
This 1229-nucleotide long non-coding RNA is filed under the name Helianthus annuus (common sunflower). Lineage: Eukaryota; Viridiplantae; Streptophyta; Magnoliopsida; Asterales; Asteraceae. The record is from RNAcentral.